RNAcentral lists this ribosomal RNA (410 nucleotides) under uncultured Methylomirabilota bacterium. RNAcentral describes it as "bacterial SSU rRNA". It matches the Rfam family "Bacterial small subunit ribosomal RNA", at positions 1025 to 1434 of the family's 1533-position model. The record is from RNAcentral. Lineage: Bacteria; Methylomirabilota (SeqCode).
AACGUGGAGACAGGUGGUGCAUGGCUGUCGUCAGCUCGUGUCGUGAGAUGUUGGGUUAAGUCCCGCAACGAGCGCAACCCUCACCUCUUGUUGCCAUCAGGUCAUGCUGGGCACUCUAGAGGAACUGCCCCGGUCAACGGGGAGGAAGGCGGGGAUGACGUCAAGUCAUCAUGCCCCUUACGCCCUGGGCUACACACGUGCUACAAUGGCCGGUACAAAGGGAUGCAAGACCGCGAGGUGGAGCUAACCCCAAAAAACCGGUCUAAGUUCAGAUUGCAGUCUGCAACUCGGCUGCAUGAAGGAGGAAUCGCUAGUAAUCGCGCAUCAGCACGGCGCGGUGAAUACGUUCCCGGGCCUUGUACACACCGCCCGUCACACCACGAAAGCCGGCUGUACUCGAAGUCGCUGAG